GCGUCCAGGAAGGAAGUGACAGAAGACGAAUGGGAAAAGGAGAACAGCUCACAGCGUUUGAAACAUCGCGGCACCACUUUAAGAUAAAAACAUAGACCUGAAUGGCAUCAUCCAGUAUCCAAGGAAACCAUGCAGUUUUGAACAUCUGGAAGCCUGAUUUAUUGGAGAUUACAAAUGUACAGUGUAACAUAGGUGUGGAGAGCGAGAAGAUCAGGAUUGUCAAUGCUGUCAUUGCUUUUACUGGAAUCCCCAGCAUGAAUUGAAGGUUUGACCAGGGACAAAGAAGCAAAUGCUAUAGAUUAACAUUCACAUGUGGUAGGAAUUCUACUAGUGCAUGUGGAGAGAAGAUAAACAUGGCUGCUGCAUGGAGUCAUAAACCUCAGAGGAAGCUGAGAAUGAGAUGAAAUGUAUAUGUAACCCUUGUGUACAGCAAGUUUGGCAAGAAAUAAAAAGUGUACUUGGCAGAUUAUGAUAAGGUUUCUCUGUGUUUACUGAUAUAGUCUCAGGUUUGCAUUGUGUGAUGAAUAAUAGGUUGGGGGAAGAUAUCCUUUGUUUAUUCAUUCAUUUCAUCAACAAAUACUUAAUGAGUGCCUACUAUAUGCCAUGCCACAAAGAGUAUAAACCUAGAGACAGAAUGGUGAGUCACAUAGACAGUGCUCCUGUUACAAUUAUUUGAACUGAGUUAACAAUACUUCAAGGGUCCAUGUCUAAUUUACUGUCUAGGUUCUCAACAAAAUUUCUGGAUA
RNAcentral lists this non-coding RNA (746 nucleotides) under Pongo abelii (Sumatran orangutan). The record is from RNAcentral. Lineage: Eukaryota; Metazoa; Chordata; Mammalia; Primates; Hominidae.